UAUCCUGUCUGAAUAUGGGGGGACCAUCCUCCAAGGCUAAAUACUCCUGACUGACCGAUAGUGAACCAGUACCGUGAGGGAAAGGCGAAAAGAACCCCGGCGAGGGGAGUGAAAAAGAACCUGAAACCGUGUACGUACAAGCAGUGGGAGCACCCUUUGGGGUGUGACUGCGUACCUUUUGUAUAAUGGGUCAGCGACUUAUAUUCUGUAGCAAGGUUAACCGAAUAGGGGAGCCGGAGGGAAACCGAGUCUUAACCGGGCGUUAAGUUGCAGGGUAUAGACCCGAAACCCGGUGAUCUAGCCAUGGGCAGGUUGAAGGUUGGGUAACACUAACUGGAGGACCGAACCGACUAAUGUUGAAAAAUUAGCGGAUGACCUGUGGCUGGGGGUGAAAGGCCAAUCAAACCGGGAGAUAGCUGGUUCUCCCCGAAAGCUAUUUAGGUAGCGCCUCGUGAAUUCAUCUCCGGGGGUAGAGCACUGUUUCGGCUAGGGGGCCAUCCCGGCUUACCAACCCGAUGCAAACUGCGAAUACCGGAGAAUGUUAUCACGGGAGACACACGGCGGGUGCUAACGUCCGUCGUGAAGAGGGAAACAACCCAGACCGCCAGCUAAGGUCCCAAAGUCAUGGUUAAGUGGGAAACGAUGUGGGAAGGCCCAGACAGCCAGGAUGUUGGCUUAGAAGCAGCCAUCAUUUAAAGAAAGCGUAAUAGCUCACUGGUCGAGUCGGCCUGCGCGGAAGAUGUAACGGGGCUAAACCAUGCACCGAAGCUGCGGCAGCGA
This 780-nucleotide ribosomal RNA is filed under the name Salmonella enterica subsp. enterica. RNAcentral describes it as "bacterial LSU rRNA". It matches the Rfam family "Bacterial large subunit ribosomal RNA", at positions 430 to 1211 of the family's 2925-position model. The record is from RNAcentral. Lineage: Bacteria; Pseudomonadati; Pseudomonadota; Gammaproteobacteria; Enterobacterales; Enterobacteriaceae.